Coregonus clupeaformis (lake whitefish) is the source of this 329-nucleotide long non-coding RNA. RefSeq lists it as uncharacterized. The record is from RefSeq and is a predicted model, not a curated record. Lineage: Eukaryota; Metazoa; Chordata; Actinopteri; Salmoniformes; Salmonidae. The transcript has 3 exons.
UAUGGACGUCCCAAAGUUUCGAUAUAGCACUGACCAAAUUUCUAGGUAUGACGUCAAAGUUGCAUGUCCCAAUCCUAUGUAUCCUUCGGCGGGGAGGCUAUCCCAUCACCUUGUGGUGCUUGGAAAAAAUGUAAUCUGAAUUAAUGGCAGACAGAAGUCCCCGCCUAGGAUACAAAUGUAUAGAAGAUUAAGGAAUAACUUCGCGAAAUGAGAAAACUGUCCUGGCCGACUCGUUUGGAGGUUGAAGGACAUCCCACCCUGACACUCUGCAGAUGUACAGAACUUGUUGUGAACCUCCCAGCCACCAGGAUAUUCACUAUACCCCAUGA